Non-coding RNA from Schistosoma mattheei, 43 nucleotides. NCBI's taxonomy places the organism in Eukaryota, Metazoa, Platyhelminthes, Trematoda, Strigeidida, Schistosomatidae. The record is from Rfam.
AUCCAGCUGACGAGUCUCAGAUACGACGAAACACGUCCUGGAU